RNAcentral lists this long non-coding RNA (3693 nucleotides) under Daucus carota (carrot). RNAcentral's name for it is "long non-coding RNA (DCAR_LNC007468)". The record is from RNAcentral. Lineage: Eukaryota; Viridiplantae; Streptophyta; Magnoliopsida; Apiales; Apiaceae.
UCAAUAAACUAUGUCUUACAAACUCAGAUCAUCUUCGAUAAGAAGAAUCACUGUCAAUCUAUAUCAAUUAUGAUUACAACUGAAUCUCAACAAUUCUAUUUAGAACCAACCUUGACAAUCUCCCUGAACAUUCCACUUGUCCUUUGGAUAAUCUAUAAUUCUGACUCCUCGCUUAGCCUUAGCCAUACUCGCAAUCUCAAUCAAGCAAUUCAUCUUUAAGCUUUUCUGAAAUGGUUAAAAAGGAAUAGCAAGGGUGAGCAACAAUGCUCAGCAAGUGUAUAUAAGCAACAAUAGUCCUGAAAUAUCUUAUCAGGGUUCACAAGUUCAGGAUAUGUAAUUGAAAACUUCACAAUUCUUAUCAGCAAUUGAAAUCAGAAUUCAAACUUACAGAAGAAUUGUCGAAUUGGAUUCAUCACAUUUUUACUUAAAAACCAAAGGUUAGGCUGCUGAUCAGUCACGCACUAACCCCGAACAUGGCACACAGCCCUGUUCUCUAUACUGGAUCCAAGGCACACAUUGGCCUAUAAUUGACCACGAAUCUGGUCUGACCACGAAUCUGGUCCACAUAUUUUAUAAAAACUAAUCCAAUUCUAACAAUUUAAAUCAAUAGACAAUUCAAUCAACAGAACAGAAUCAUAAUCAUUAUCAACAACAGAAAUAUUCCAAAUCAACUUUUGAGAAUCAACAUUUCAUAAACCAUAGUCCGUCUUUUGAUAAAUCAUAGUUCAGGAAAUUCCUAACUAUUCAGUAUCCUCCAUUAUCGGCUAAGCAACUGAAUUUAGCCUGCUAAACCAGCAUGACAAUGGCGGGUUGAAUAAUCAAGAAGAUCCCAAUUCAUUCUAAGUUCUAACUAUCACUGAGCAACACAUGCUUUAAUGACAAUCUGAACUUCGAAUUAAUUUGUACAGCUGAUAUUCUUAAAAUCGUUAGGGUUGGAAGGGAUGGAUCAGAAUACUUGUAAUAGAAAUUGGGAGUAUUUGGGUGUUUGGCUUUUCAAAGACUUGAAAGUAGAAAACAAUCAUGGGUUUCAUUCUCAGAAAUAAGAGUUUAUUUGAGAAAGGUUUUCAGUAUAAGCAAUACCAUAAUCUGGACAGAAUAAUCAGAACAUGCAAUAUAUAUAUACGAGGAAGGAUUUAGGAAAACUUGCCUUAAAUCCGCUUCCACACACAGCUUAAUCUCAUCUUUCCAACUCACAACCUAUGCAUAUCAUAGUCUCUAGACCAUCUCUAGCUAUACUUUAUUCGCCACUCUGCUUCACCUACUCGAUUCGUUCCUCAUUCGCUUUGGAACACCGUUUGACUUUCUGAACGUCUUCGGUCAUACACGUCUCGUCCAAAUCCUUAACGAGGAUAAGAUAAUACUAUAAUCACUAACCAAUCUAUUGCAUAUACAUAUCACGUAUAUCGAUACCCACUUAUAUAUCCCUUUUAAACUUAUCAGAUAUCACCUAACACAUAAUCAUGCUUUGACUCCAACAUAUAGUCAAUCAUAUUUCACAUAACAUAUCACAAAUCAAUUAUCAUAUAAAUCCUUAUCGGAAAUUCGACAUCGUCUCGUCUAUGUAUAAGACUAUCCAUCUGUUAUCCUAUCUCAAUCAACCAUCAACCAACACAAUUCAAUCACUAUCCAUACAUUCUUAUCCAAUAUCAAUCAAUUCACGACACUAUGUCAUAUAAGUCAUUUAUCACAUAUGUAUAAUAUUAGGAAUAGCCACGUAUACCACGUAAUCAUCAAUUCAUAGCAGACAAGUCACAUAUUGACACAUAUUGCAUAUUACAUGACAUAUAAUCACAUUCUAGACUCGAUCAUAUUAUCUUGCUAUAUUAAAAUAGACUCCAUAAGCUUUCAUCUCCCUUUCGUUUCACCUGAUUCUGAAUUACGGAUCAAAAGAUAUGAUCAAAACCGUUUUCUAACUCUCCUAUCGGCACAUAACAUAUCAAACAGAUAGCAGACAACAUAUUUCAUAUAAGGUCUCCCAUCCCGAUUGAUGUCAAAUCAAGUCUUGGGUUAAAAAUGAUUUUUCGGGAAUUUUCUGGAAUUUUCUAAACAUUUUUCGGAAUUAAAACAGGUAAAAGAAUCCAUUUUUGAAUAAAUAAUCAGAUCCGAUUGCUCAAGAUCGGAUCCGAAAUCAUUUGGAAUCAUUUAACGAGCCUCAAACAUAUUUUAGAAAAAUAAUCCAAAGCUCGAAACUAUUUCUCGGAAUUUUUAAAUCAAAAGAAAUCAUUAAAUCUAAUUAAUUAAUCAAUUAAAAUCAAUUAAUAAUUAAUUAAAAUAAUUAAUCAAUUAAUAUUAAAAUUAAUUGACCAAUUAAAAUAAUUAAUUACUAAUUAAAUUUAAUUAAUAAACUAAUUUCAGAUUUAUUUUUGAAUAAAGAAGUAAUUAAUUGAAUAAAGAAAUAAUUAAAAACUAUUUUUGAAAUUUAAAAUAAUUAAAUAAAACAAUUUUUGAAAAUUAAAUCAAAAGGUUUAUUUUGUAAACUUUUAAAAGUUUUCGGCCAGGGUAUAAAGUGUAACUUUCAGAAGUUUCAGGGGGUGUUUUGUAAGAUUCAAAACCUGGGUACGAUAACUUCACCAUCUUUAAAAGUUGGGGUACCAAACUGCACUUUGGCAGCGGCACCCCCAGACUCGCCGGCGACGGCGUCGGAAACGCCGCCGGAGGCGUCUCUCCGCCCAGAACCAUGCCAGAAGGUGCAGAACUGGUGUACACAUCACCAGGAACUCGAAUAUAUCAACCAAUUAAGCAGUAGUUCCAUGAAUCAGCCGGAAAACGGAGCAAAAGCUCCGCCGCAGCCGCCACGAUUUCCAGAUUCCGGCGACCUCUACGGGGGUCGUCCGGUCAAUUAGGUGGCAUGAACAUACUCCUCUCCUCACGCUCUUUCUAAUGGUACCAACCACACAUCCUCUAGUUUCCUAGAUUUAAAACGCCCAAUUCGCAAUUGAAAACAUUCAUAAACUACGAAGAACACUCAAGAACACCAAUUCAAGAAUCAAACCAACUUUUCUAUAUGAUAUGGAAGUCAAAAAUCGACAUAUAAUAUAUGAAAACGAAUGGCAGGAGAUGUUCUACAACAUGGAAUCAUCAAAUCAUAGAAACAAGAUCGUUUACGAAAAUUCAUCCUUUGAAAUAAUAUAAUUCGAAAUUAAAAAGCUUAUUUAGCAAAAACCUGUCGAUUCAGCGCUGAUAUUGAUGACUACAAUAGAUUCUACGCGUCGAGAGCUUCGUUUUGACUAUUUAUACGCCUCCAUCGGAUUCCAAUAACGCCUUCAAAUCCUCGUUUGAAUAUGAAGAACACGAAGAACACCCGUUCGUCUUCUCUCGGUAUUCGUGCAGAGAAACUGACGAAAUGAUUGUACGUGCGAAAUAAACUGGUAAAGGAUAUUUAUAGAAGAAGAUAAGAGAAUAUUCCUUGAAUAUGCUUUGGAAUAUUCCUUGAAUAUGCUUUGGAAUAUUCCUGGAAUAUGCUUCACGCAUUACGAGACAACCAGAUAAUUAUUAACUUUAAAAAUAUUAAUAAAACCGUACCGGAUCAUUUACGGGGCAAACCGUACUCCGGAUUGAAAAAGUUAAAACACGAAUAAUGCUCAGAAUGUCCCAAAUAGCUUAAUGGCGAAAUUUUCCCGAACGCCCACGGGGUUUAAAAUGUUAAAUAACUAUUUAAAUAUAAUUAAUAAUUAAACGAAAUUAAAUCCAUAA